GAGCCCGUGGCUCAAUCGUAGAGCGUUUGACUUAAAUACAAAAGGUCACGAGUUCG
Molecule: transfer RNA, 56 nt
Filed under: Schistocephalus solidus
Lineage: Eukaryota; Metazoa; Platyhelminthes; Cestoda; Diphyllobothriidea; Diphyllobothriidae
Rfam family: tRNA
About the family: Transfer RNA (tRNA) molecules are approximately 80 nucleotides in length. Their secondary structure includes four short double-helical elements and three loops (D, anti-codon, and T loops).
Source: Rfam by way of RNAcentral